This 899-nucleotide ribosomal RNA is filed under the name Arthrobacter oryzae. RNAcentral describes it as "bacterial SSU rRNA". It matches the Rfam family "Bacterial small subunit ribosomal RNA", at positions 56 to 960 of the family's 1533-position model. The record is from RNAcentral. Lineage: Bacteria; Bacillati; Actinomycetota; Actinomycetes; Micrococcales; Micrococcaceae.
UGCAGUCGACGAUGAUCUCCAGCUUGCUGGGGGGAUUAGUGGCGAACGGGUGAGUAACACGUGAGUAACCUGCCCUUAACUCUGGGAUAAGCCUGGGAAACUGGGUCUAAUACCGGAUAUGACUCCUCAUCGCAUGGUGGGGGGUGGAAAGCUUUUUGUGGUUUUGGAUGGACUCGCGGCCUAUCAGCUUGUUGGUGAGGUAAUGGCUCACCAAGGCGACGACGGGUAGCCGGCCUGAGAGGGUGACCGGCCACACUGGGACUGAGACACGGCCCAGACUCCUACGGGAGGCAGCAGUGGGGAAUAUUGCACAAUGGGCGCAAGCCUGAUGCAGCGACGCCGCGUGAGGGAUGACGGCCUUCGGGUUGUAAACCUCUUUCAGUAGGGAAGAAGCGAAAGUGACGGUACCUGCAGAAGAAGCGCCGGCUAACUACGUGCCAGCAGCCGCGGUAAUACGUAGGGCGCAAGCGUUAUCCGGAAUUAUUGGGCGUAAAGAGCUCGUAGGCGGUUUGUCGCGUCUGCCGUGAAAGUCCGGGGCUCAACUCCGGAUCUGCGGUGGGUACGGGCAGACUAGAGUGAUGUAGGGGAGACUGGAAUUCCUGGUGUAGCGGUGAAAUGCGCAGAUAUCAGGAGGAACACCGAUGGCGAAGGCAGGUCUCUGGGCAUUAACUGACGCUGAGGAGCGAAAGCAUGGGGAGCGAACAGGAUUAGAUACCCUGGUAGUCCAUGCCGUAAACGUUGGGCACUAGGUGUGGGGGACAUUCCACGUUUUCCGCGCCGUAGCUAACGCAUUAAGUGCCCCGCCUGGGGGAGUACGGCCGCAAGGCUAAAACUCAAAAGGAAUUGACGGGGGGCCCGCACAAAGCNGGCGGAGCAUGCGGGAUUAAUUCCGAUGCAAC